UGGGGAAUAUUGCACAAUGGGCGCAAGCCUGAUGCAGCCAUGCCGCGUGUGUGAAGAAGGCCUUCGGGUUGUAAAGCACUUUCAGCGGGGAGGAAGGCGAUAAGGUUAAUAACCUCAUCGAUUGACGUUACCCGCAGAAGAAGCACCGGCUAACUCCGUGCCAGCAGCCGCGGUAAUACGGAGGGUGCAAGCGUUAAUCGGAAUUACUGGGCGUAAAGCGCACGCAGGCGGUCUGUCAAGUCGGAUGUGAAAUCCCCGGGCUCAACCUGGGAACUGCAUUCGAAACUGGCAGGGUAGAGUCUUGUAGAGGGGGGUAGAAUUCCAGGUGUAGCGGUGAAAUGCGUAGAGAUCUGGAGGAAUACCGGUGGCGAAGGCGGCCCCCUGGACAAAGACUGACGCUCAGGUGCGAAAGCGUGGGGAGCAAACAGG
RNAcentral lists this ribosomal RNA (429 nucleotides) under Chloroflexota bacterium. Its description in RNAcentral is "Chloroflexi bacterium partial 16S ribosomal RNA". It matches the Rfam family "Bacterial small subunit ribosomal RNA", at positions 355 to 776 of the family's 1533-position model. Lineage: Bacteria; Bacillati; Chloroflexota. The record is from RNAcentral.